UUCCAGCUCCAAAAGCAUAUACUAAAAUUGCUGUAGUUAAAACGCUCGUAGUUUAUACGUAGGAGAUUAUUGAGAUCAUUUGGUGUGGUGAACACUUUCGUACCAUUACAUUCAUUUUAUGGAUCUUGGUAUCGAAAGUGACCUUACGGUUUAUUCGCCACAUCCUUAGGUGACGAGUGGUUAAUAGCCAUAAGUCACAAGUGUGAUCAAUAACUCUGUCCAGGAACCGUGAACAAAUUAAUGUGUUUAAGGCAAGCUCGUGUAUCUAAUACAUAGCUUGAAUAAUUUAGCAUGGAACCACUAUACCCUCCAUUUGGAGGGACCUGGUAAUAAAAGCUCGGCGGAGGACUCUGGUAUUGCGCACUUAGAGGUGAAAUUCCGAUAUUUCCGCAAGACGAACGGAUGCGUAGGCUGUCAUUGCCCAUCACACCUUUAUUGAUCAGGAACGAGAGUCAGGGGAUCGAAGAUG
RNAcentral lists this ribosomal RNA (469 nucleotides) under uncultured Paravahlkampfia. RNAcentral's name for it is "partial small subunit ribosomal RNA". It matches the Rfam family "Eukaryotic small subunit ribosomal RNA", at positions 583 to 1006 of the family's 1831-position model. Lineage: Eukaryota; Heterolobosea; Eutetramitea; Acrasida; Vahlkampfiidae. The record is from RNAcentral.